AUUGAACGCUGGCGGCAGGCCUAACACAUGCAAGUCGAACGGUAACAGGAAGACGCUUGCUUCUUUGCUGACGAGUGGCGGACGGGUGAGUAAUGUCUGGGAAACUGCCUGCUGGAGGGGGAUAACUACUGGAAACGGUAGCUAAUACCGCAUAAUGUCGCAAGACCAAAGAGGGGGACCUUCGGGCCCCUUGCCAUCGGAUGUGCCCAGAUGGGAUUAGCUAGUAGGUGGGGUAACGGCUCACCUAGGCGACGAUCCUUAGCUGGUCUGAGAGGAUGACCAGCCACACUGGAACUGAGACACGGUCCAGACUCCUACGGGAGGCAGCAGUGGGGAAUAUUGCACAAUGGGCGCAAGCCUGAUGCAGCCAUGCCGCGUGUAUGAAGAAGGCCUUCGGGUUGUAAAGUACUUUCAGCGGGGAGGAAGGGAGUAAAGUUAAUACCUUUGCUCAUUGACGUUACCCGCAGAAGAAGCACCGGCUAACUCCGUG
RNAcentral lists this ribosomal RNA (490 nucleotides) under uncultured bacterium. RNAcentral's name for it is "partial 16S ribosomal RNA". It matches the Rfam family "Bacterial small subunit ribosomal RNA", at positions 30 to 507 of the family's 1533-position model. The record is from RNAcentral.